Molecule: long non-coding RNA, 363 nt
Filed under: Olea europaea (common olive)
Lineage: Eukaryota; Viridiplantae; Streptophyta; Magnoliopsida; Lamiales; Oleaceae
Description: long non-coding RNA (OEUR_LNC009817)
Source: RNAcentral
GCAUUGCAAUCUCGAGCAGCUUUAUUCGGCCAACUAAACUGGACGGAAUUGGAGGCAACCUCUGUAGGUUUUUUGGGGUGGAGACAAAGGAUACUAAGAUGUUUUUUGCUGCUAAUUUUUUGGAGAGUUCAAGGAAUGGUAGCAUGUGUCCGAAUGCUAGCCAUGGGAACAUCAUUACAUGACAUUGUUCUGCUGCCAUGAAUCCUUUCGAAAGGUAUAAUUUGAUAAUUUUGUGCUGCUGAAUCCUGCUUAAAUAGAGAAUAAGCAGUUCUAUAUGUCAUAUUCUUUAGAUGAGAGUUAAUUUAGCCGGGAACAGUACAGUUUACAAGACUCAUCACAGGGAUUCACAAUCUUUGACUUUUG